RNAcentral lists this long non-coding RNA (559 nucleotides) under Homo sapiens (human). RNAcentral describes it as "non-protein coding lnc-RWDD4-2:1". The record is from RNAcentral. Lineage: Eukaryota; Metazoa; Chordata; Mammalia; Primates; Hominidae.
GCUCGGUCCUUCGUGCCGUCCUCCCCGCUGGGAGGGGCAGCUCCAGCUCCGCUCGGCUCGCUCCGCCCGGCCACACCGGCUUUUUCCCCAUCAGGCGGUCCGAGUGCGGCUCCUCGCGAGCCUGCAAAGGAGCAGCAGGCGGUUCCUUUUCGGACGACCUGGAGCGAGGCCUGCGGGACUGCGCGCCCCGGCGGGCGGCGUGCGGCUCCCGGCAUGCGCGGCGGCUGCGUUCCCGCCGCCUCCGAGCUCGCCUGGGGCUGCCGCCCGCCUCCUGCCGGGCCCUCGGGCUCGCCCGGCACCGCGGGGCUUGAUCAGGGAGAUAUUUUAGUACAACAUCUUUUCAUCACAGAAAUGAUAUCUUCAGGGAAAAGACUUCGAAAAAGUGCCUGAAGUGACACAACACAUGUUUUCUUCUGGUAUCUGGCUAAAGCCUUCUCUUCUAAGCAGCAUAAACUACUGCUGCCUACAUGUUGCCUGUUCAUAAAGGCUGAGGCAGGGGAGUCGCUUGAACUCGGGAGGCGGAGGUUGCAGUGAGCCGAGAUCAUGCCAUUUCCCUCCA